UGUAUGAGUUGUGWUUGGGWUGUUUUUGCUGGCUGGCUCCGUGCUUUUGCAUCGAACGGUUGGCAUGCAACUCCGUUUCAAGUACACCUCGCAUCUUAGAUGCGGCGGUGCGCGGCCCCGGUUCCUGUGUUGCCUACCUCUUGAAUGGUAUUCGUGUUGCUUGUUGGAUUUGUCCAUCCAGUUCCCCCCCGUGGGGUUCUGGGGGACUUCGAAGUGAUACACAUGCUCCACCUUAGCUAUUCGUGAUUGAAUGAAGCAAUCGUGGUGCAUUUGUAUCUGCUGCUCUCUCGGAUGCGGUGCAUGAGAUGAAACAUGGGAAGAUUUCCCAUCGAGUCCCUCAAAUCUCGGUUGCCUUGAAYGACACUUGCCUUCGUGCUUGCUUGCUCUCCACUCGUGGCCGCAUGCAGGCAUCGACGUGCAAAGUUGUUAACGGAUG
RNAcentral lists this unclassified non-coding RNA (436 nucleotides) under Lotus edulis. Its description in RNAcentral is "partial external transcribed spacer". The record is from RNAcentral. Lineage: Eukaryota; Viridiplantae; Streptophyta; Magnoliopsida; Fabales; Fabaceae.